Molecule: ribosomal RNA, 497 nt
Filed under: uncultured bacterium
Lineage: Bacteria
Description: partial 16S ribosomal RNA
Rfam family: Bacterial small subunit ribosomal RNA
Source: RNAcentral
GAUGAACGCUGGCGGCGUGCCUAAUACAUGCAAGUCGAGCGAACAGACGAGGAGCUUGCUCCUCUGACGUUAGCGGCGUACGGAUGAGUAACACAUGGAGAACCUACCUAUAAGACUGGGAUAACUUCGGGAAACCGGUGCUACUACCGGUAAUAAUCUGCAACGGCUGGGUUCAAUAGCGAAAGAGGAUAUUGCUGUCACUUAUCAAGAGAACCGCGCCGCUGUAGCUAGGUCGUAAGGUGACGGCUUACCAAGGCGACGAUGCGUAGGCGACCUGAGAGGGUGAUCGGCCCCACUGGAACGGAAACACGGCCCAGACUCCUACGGGAGGCAGCAGAAGAGAAUCGUCCGCAAUGGGAGAAAGCCUGACGGAGCAAAGCCGCGCGAGUGAUGAAGGUCUUCGGAUCGUAAAACUCUGUUAUUAUGGAAGAACAAAUGUGUAAGUAACUAUGCACGUCUUGACGGUACCUAAUCAGAAAGCCCCGGCUAACUACGUG